UAAUUGAAGAGUUUGAUCAUGGCUCAGAUUGAACGCUGGCGGCAGGCCUAACACAUGCAAGUCGGGCGGUAACAGGGAGAAGCUUGCUUCUCUGCUGACGAGCGGCGGACGGGUGAGUAAUGUAUGGGGAUCUGCCUGAUGGAGGGGGAUAACUACUGGAAACGGUAGCUAAUACCGCAUAAUGUCUCCGGACCAAAGCGGGGGACCUUCGGGCCUCGCACCAUCAGAUGAACCCAUAUGGGAUUAGCUUGUAGGUGAGGUAACGGCUCACCUAGGCGACGAUCCCUAGCUGGUCUGAGAGGAUGAUCAGCCACACUGGGACUGAGACACGGCCCAGACUCCUACGGGAGGCAGCAGUGGGGAAUAUUGCACAAUGGGCGCAAGCCUGAUGCAGCCAUGCCGCGUGUAUGAAGAAGGCCUUCGGGUUGUAAAGUACUUUCAGUCGGGAGGAAGGUGUUAAGGUUAAUAACCUUAACAAUUGACGUUACCGACAGAAGAAGCACCGGCUAACUCCGUGCCAGCAGCCGCGGUAAUACGGAGGGUGCAAGCGUU
RNAcentral lists this ribosomal RNA (552 nucleotides) under Morganella morganii. RNAcentral describes it as "bacterial SSU rRNA". It matches the Rfam family "Bacterial small subunit ribosomal RNA", at positions 1 to 542 of the family's 1533-position model. The record is from RNAcentral. Lineage: Bacteria; Pseudomonadati; Pseudomonadota; Gammaproteobacteria; Enterobacterales; Morganellaceae.